This 301-nucleotide ribosomal RNA is filed under the name uncultured bacterium. Its description in RNAcentral is "partial 16S ribosomal RNA". It matches the Rfam family "Bacterial small subunit ribosomal RNA", at positions 509 to 807 of the family's 1533-position model. The record is from RNAcentral.
CAGCCGCCACGGGAAUACGUAGGUGGCAAGCGCUGUCCGGAAUUAUUGGGCGUAAAGGGCACGCAGGCGGUUUCUUAAGUCUGAUGUGAAAGCCCCCGGCUCAACCGGGGAGGGUCAUUGGAAACUGGGAAACUUGAGUGCAGAAGAGGAGAGUGGAAUUCCACGUGUAGCGGUGAAAUGCGUAGAGAUGUGGAGGAACACCAGUGGCGAAGGCGACUCUCUGGUCUGUAACUGACGCUGAGGAGCGAAAGCGUGGGGAGCGAACAGGAUUAGAUACCCCUGUAGUCCCUGUCUCUUAUAC